GCAUCAGAUCCAAGAAAUCAUUGCCAAAUAGCACAUUUGUUCCUUCCAAGAGGCUGAAUGUUGAGGAGCUAAACAUCCAAUGUUGGGAUCUAAACUUUGCCCCAUAAACCCUUGGCUUAGCUCCAGGGAUCCAGCUUGCCACAGCAGCACGGACAAGUAGACAGUGGUAUCCCAACCUUGUACCUAGAACAUAGGUGGUGGAUUGAGGAGAAUUCUGAUCCCUGUGUGUCGACUCACGGAUGCGUUGGUUGCCUGUCUUCGGGGAGGACAUUUGCCUAUUUCUAGUCCUCUGGAAUCUCUCCCAUUCUCUAUACGAAGUAACAAGAACUUGCACUGCGAUGGUAACCAUGAGCAUGGAAAGGAAAGCAUGGCUAUGAACACCACUCAAAUGAGCAGCCACCCUGCUUAUGCACGGGGAUGCAGAAGAGGCAAGAAGGAGACGCAGAUGGUUGCAAAACAUGAGCCUGACUACAUUCUGGGAUGAGGAGACUGACCGACAGUAACCUGCCAAUAGCUUUGGCCCAUGAGGACAAAGGGAUGCUAUUUCAAGCAGAGGGAAG
RNAcentral lists this long non-coding RNA (560 nucleotides) under Equus caballus (horse). Its description in RNAcentral is "lncRNA (ENSECAG00000048053.1)". The record is from RNAcentral. Lineage: Eukaryota; Metazoa; Chordata; Mammalia; Perissodactyla; Equidae.